GGCCUCAUCGUCUAGUGGCCAGGACAGGCGGUUCUCAUCCGCCAAACAGGGGUUCGAUUCCCCUUGGGGCUA
This 72-nucleotide transfer RNA is filed under the name Patescibacteria group bacterium. RNAcentral's name for it is "tRNA-Glu". It matches the Rfam family "tRNA". Rfam says of the family: Transfer RNA (tRNA) molecules are approximately 80 nucleotides in length. The record is from RNAcentral.